Long non-coding RNA from Lingula anatina, 212 nucleotides. The record is from RefSeq and is a predicted model, not a curated record. Lineage: Eukaryota; Metazoa; Brachiopoda; Lingulata; Lingulida; Lingulidae.
UUUUUAUUUCCGGUUUCAUCAGUGUGACAGCAUGGCAGACAGCCAAGGAAAAACAAAAAGAGUCCAGCCAAAGUGGAGUCCUCCAGCUGCUACUGGAGUUGCUCAGCUGAAGUUAUAUAACAGUCUAACCAGGCAAAAGGAAUUAUUUGUGCCUCAGAAUGGCAGCCAGGUCACAUGGUACAGCUGUGGUCCCACCGUGUAUGAUGCCUCGC